This is a long non-coding RNA of Mirounga angustirostris (Northern elephant seal), 222 nucleotides long. RefSeq lists it as uncharacterized. The record is from RefSeq and is a predicted model, not a curated record. The transcript is spliced from 2 exons. Lineage: Eukaryota; Metazoa; Chordata; Mammalia; Carnivora; Phocidae.
CCAUCUCCCUCGCCAUUAAUGGAGGAUACCAGAACAAGAGAGAAAAUGGGGGAAAGAAGGUGAAUGGAUGAACACAUUCAGGUAUGUGAAUACAAUACAUAUCAAGGGUGUCAACGUACAGUACUAUAUCCACAUAACACACACUGCUCAACAAUAAGGAGUAAACCAGGACUCUCAAUUACGUGGAGUGAAAGAAGCCAAAUGAAACAAAAAGUGCAUACG